Molecule: ribosomal RNA, 253 nt
Filed under: uncultured bacterium
Lineage: Bacteria
Description: partial 16S ribosomal RNA
Rfam family: Bacterial small subunit ribosomal RNA
Source: RNAcentral
UACAGAGGUCUCAAGCGUUGUUCGGAUUCAUUGGGCGUAAAGGGUGCGUAGGCGGCGCGGUAAGUCGGGUGUGAAAUCUCGGGGCUUAACUCCGAAACUGCAUUCGAUACUGCCGUGCUUGAGGACUGGAGAGGAGACUGGAAUUUACGGUGUAGCGGUGAAAUGCGUAGAUAUCGGGAGGAACACCAAUUGCGAAGGCAGCUUGCUGGGACGGUACUGACGCUGAGGCGCGAAAGCGUGGGGAGCAAACAGG